UACAGAGGUCUCAAGCGUUGUUCGGAUUCAUUGGGCGUAAAGGGUGCGUAGGUGGCGCUGUAAGUCAGGUGUGAAAUUUCGGAGCUUAACUCCGAAACUGCAUUUGAUACUGCGGUGCUCGAGGACUGGAGAGGAGACUGGAAUUUACGGUGUAGCAGUGAAAUGCGUAGAUAUCGGGAGGAACACCUGUGGCGAAAGCGGCGCACUGGACCACAACUGACGCUGAGGCGCGAAAGCUAGGGGAGCAAACAGG
This 253-nucleotide ribosomal RNA is filed under the name uncultured bacterium. Its description in RNAcentral is "partial 16S ribosomal RNA". It matches the Rfam family "Bacterial small subunit ribosomal RNA", at positions 524 to 776 of the family's 1533-position model. The record is from RNAcentral.